This 432-nucleotide ribosomal RNA is filed under the name uncultured bacterium. Its description in RNAcentral is "partial 16S ribosomal RNA". It matches the Rfam family "Bacterial small subunit ribosomal RNA", at positions 29 to 507 of the family's 1533-position model. The record is from RNAcentral.
AACGAACGCUGGCGGCAUGCCUAACACAUGCAAGUCGAACGAGACCUUCGGGUCUAGUGGCGCACGGGGGCGUAACGCGUGGGAACCUUCCCUUAGGUUCGGAAUAGCUCCCCGAAAGGGGUGCUAAUACCGGAUAAUGUCUUCGGACCAAAGAUUUAUCGCCUUUGGGUGGGCCCGCGUUGGUUUAGCUAUUUGGAAGGGUAAAAGCCUACCAAGGCGACGAUCCAUAGCUGGUUGAGAGGAUGAUCAGCCACACUGGGACUGAGACACGGCCCAGACUCCUACGGGAGGCAGCAGUGGGGAAUAUUGGACAAUGGGCGAAAGCCUGAUCCAGCAAUGCCGCGUGAGUGAUGAAGGCCUUAGGGUUGUAAAGCUCUUUUACCCGGGAUGAUAAUGACAGUACCGGGAGAAUAAGCUCCGGCUAACUCCGUG